Pavo cristatus (Indian peafowl) is the source of this 5002-nucleotide long non-coding RNA. The record is from Ensembl. NCBI's taxonomy places the organism in Eukaryota, Metazoa, Chordata, Aves, Galliformes, Phasianidae.
AUGGCAGCGCCCCAUGGCACAGCCCCAUCCUACAGCAUAGCACUGUCCCACAGCACGGCACCAUCCCCAUCCCAUGGCACAGCCCUGUCCCCAUCCCACGGCACAGCACCAUCCCCCAUCCCACAGCACUGCCCCAUGGCACAGCCCUGUCCCCAUCCCACAGCCCUGCCCCAUCCCCAUCCCAUGGCACAGCCCAGUCCCCAUCCCACAGCACAGCACCAUCCCCCAUCCCACAGCACAGCCCCAUGGCACAGCCUGGCACUGCCCCAUCCCCAUCCCAUAGUACUGCCCCAUCCCCAUCCCAUAGCAUUACCCCAUCCCCAUCCCAUAAUACUGCCCCAUCCCCACCCCACACCGCAGCACCCACCGGCGCAGCCGUCCCUCGAUGAUCCACUUGUUCUUCCUGUAGGCCGACAUGCUCUCCAGCGUCUUGUCAAUCUCACUGCAAGAACACGAGGUGGGGGGGGGGGGGCUCAGCACCAUUGGGUGGGGGGGGCACAGCCAGCACCCCCCCAGCUCUGCUCCCCCCUCUAUGCUCACCUGAUGAUGCGGGCGCUGCUGUUGAGCUCAUUGACCAGGAAGGCCAGGAUGGCAGCUUUGCGCUCCGGGAGCAGCGCCUGGAAGGGUUUGGUGCGCAGCCCCGUGCACAGCUCAGCCUCAGCCCCGUGUGCUGUCAGGAAGCAGCGCAGCACCUCCGAGACGGUGUCACGGUUCAGGCUGAUCUCUGACACCUUCUCACCCAGGAUCUUCAGGGACUGCGAGGAGAGAGAGGUGUUGGGAGGCAGCAGGAAAGGGACGACACGGGGAGGGCACCAAUGGGGGAGUCAACUCUUUGAAAGGGCAGAUUGCAGCAGGAUAAGGGGAAACGGUUUGAAGUUGAGGGAGAGAAGAUUGAGGUUGGAUGCCAGGGGGAGGUUCUUUACUAUGAGAGUGGGGAGGUGCUGGAACAGCUGCCCAGAGAGGCUGUGGAUGCCCCGUCCACCCCAAGGCCAGGUUGGAUGGAGCCUGGGCAGCCUGGGCUGGUGUUAAAUGGGGAGGUUGGUGGCCCUGCCUGUGGCAGGAGGGUUGGAGCUUCAUCAUCCUCGAGCUCCCUUCCAACCUGGGCCAUUCUAUGAUUCUGUGGCUGAUGGGAAAACCCAAAGCCUGGGGUGGGGUGUCCCCAGAUGGGGCUGCACUGUGGGCAGCACGUCCUGAAAUGCAGUGCUCACCCACCCCAAGCCUGCAGCAGCUGCAACCUCAGGGGCACCAAGGGCAUCAGGGCAGGGGAUGGGGGCACACAGAGACAAGGCAGGGCACAGACACAGAGCAGGGGCAGUACCUGGCAGUAGGGGGGCAGCCCAGGGUCGUAGAGCGCAGCCUGCAGCAGCCGCACCAGCAGGUCCUGCACUGCGCCGACGCUGCUGCCCACCCCCAGCAGCCCCUCCUGCAGCGUGCUCAGGCUGGGCACGUCCCUGCUGGGGUCGAAGCCCAGCACCUUGCCGUAGCUCUGCAGGAACUCCACCACCGUCAGGCAGUGGGAGAAGGCUCGGCUGGGCAGCACCAGGCCUGGGAUGCGCGAGAAGGUCGGCAGCGGCUGUGGGGCGAAACGGGGCGGUCAGGGCAGGGGAUGCGGGGUCAGACCCACCAGACCCCCUCCCCAUCCCAACCUGGUGGUCCGCCAGGCACAUGUCCUCCGUCGGCUUCUUCAUCUCCUCCAGGAUGAGCUGCUGCCGUCGCCGCUCCUCCAGGCGCCGCUGGGCCAGCAGCCCCUUGUCCACCCUGCGUGUCCCUUUGCCCUUCUUCUCCUUGGGCCGCCCCUUGUCCUUGCCCUUCUCCGCUUUGCCCUUCUUCUCCUUGGCCUGGAGACAGACCCCGGGGUGGGUGGCCCCUCCAGCUCCCUCCCUCCCUGCCCCACAGCUGCUGCGGACCCACCUUGGACUUCUUCUUGGCCUCCUUCGCUUUGGGAGCUUUCGCCUCCUGCUUCUGCUUGUUCUUGGCCUGAGGGGGAAUUAGAGCAGCUCAGCGACUGGCAGCAACAGGGGUACCCACUGGUCGGGGCAGGGGGCUGCUCUGUGCCCCGUGUCAGCCACCAAGAAGGAGGGGCCCUAGGGCUGCCCCCAGCCCUCCCCCAGCACCACUCAUACCUUCCGCCUCAUUUUCUUCUUGAUUUUGCUCAUUUUCAGCUUGUCCUCAUCACUGAGCACCUCUGCGAGAACGGAGGGGGUGGUUGGUGACGGGGAGCGGGCAGUGGGGCGGGCUGGGGGCCGGGGGGUACCUUGGGCCUCCAGCCUCUUCAGCAGCCGCGCGUCCGUUUUGCUCAGCAGAUCCACCAUCCGGACCUUGGGGGGCCGCCCGCGGCCGCGCUUCACGGCAGGCAGCUCUUUGGGCUUCGCCUUCUCGGCGUUGCGGGGUCGGCCACGCUUCCCGGUGAUGGCCUGGAUGCGGGACGGGAUCUCCUCGGGGCUCAGCUUCACCCACUGCAGACCCUGCAGGAGGAAACCCCGUCAGCCCCAAAGGGAGCGACCCAAAGCCCCACGGCCGCAGCAGCGUCACGCAGAGCAGGGCCGGGCCCUGCAGAGCACGGCGUGCUCACCUCCGGCGUGUCCCGCUCCUCAUAGAAGUCCCCCACCGGCAUUCGGGGGCUGAAGCUGAAGUGCUCGCGGCGGACGUCCUGCACCACAUUCCUGUUCAAGUACUGGGGGGCAGGAGGAGGAGAAUGAGAGACCCUGGUGGAGCCGGGGGGCUGCUCAGAGCCCGGCCCCCCCCAUCGUACCUUGAUCACCUCUGGGAACUGCUUCAUCCUCUUCCCACACGGCCCGUAGUACCACGUCUCUCCCUGCCAGCGGUGGUUCCCCCUUUUGAUGCGCACCUCUCUCCUCCACCUGCACACAGAGGGGGGCUCAGCCCGGGUCCUGCACAGCCCCGUGGGGUGUGGGUAUGGGGUCACACCACGUACCCGUGCUGCAGAGGGAAGCGCACCUCCUCGGGGGUGGCAAUGCGCCGGCGUGGGACAUCACCUGUGGGGCAGAGGAGGGAGCAGCUCAGGGGGUGUGGGGGGCACCCAGCUGGGGGGUGAGGGGGGGGGUUCCAUCCUCACCUCCCACCGAUGUGCUCAGCGGGGCGGCCUCCUCCUUGCUCUCUCCUUCUGGAGCAGCUGAAGCCUCCGUGCAGCUGUCAGCCACCUCCUCCUCCUCAUCCUCUUCUUCCUCCUCUUCCUCAGCAGAAGGACAUAGGGAUUCGGGCUCCAGUGCUGUGCUGAGCUCCAGAGACCCCGACUGCUCCGGCCCUGCGUGGCCGCUGCUCGGCUCUGGGCUGCUGUCUGCAGGGCCAAGGUCAGCACCAUCACCACGACUGCCAUCCCUUCCUGCUCCUUCCAUAGGAGCCCCCCCCCCAGCACUGAGUUGGGNGCGGGCAGGGGGGGGCUGGGCGCGUCGUCGGGGGGUUCCUCCAGGGGGGAUUUGUCGCCCACCAGCUGCGCCUCAUCCAUCGCAUAGAGGUCACCGGUGUCGGGGUCUGGGGGGGGGAACAGUGCAAACAGCUCAGUGGGGCAGCACAGGGGGGACUGCACGGGGGGCCCCCCAGCUCUGAACGCAUUGGGAGCACACACACCCACAUGGCCGCGGGGAUGACCGGCCCCCCCCCCAGUGGGCACCGGCAGGAGAGGGGUUAAGGGAGCUCGCAGCCCCCGGCCCCGCCCCCUCCGUUGGGAAGCGGAGCCCAAAAUGGCCGUAGCGGCGGCGGCGAUGUUCAGCAGCGCGGAAGUUCAGGCGCUGAGGAACAGCUUCGUCACUGCGCUGGGAAGGGAGGCCGGAGCGGAGGAGGGACGGAGCGGAGGAGGGACCGCGCGAUCCCGGCCCGCCCCUCCGCCAGAGCCGCGCAGCGCCGCGGCCGUCGCCAUCGCCCCAGAGGGCCGCGCUGCCCGCAGCCCCCCCCCAGCCCGCAGCCCCCUCCCCACCUCUGGCCAAGGCCUCGAAGGGCUCCAGGGGGUCUUCGCUCAGCAGCUGCGUGUCCUCCAGCGGUGCACCCAUAGGCGAUGCGGGCCCAAGGCUGGCGGCGGUCGGGGUCAGGCCUGGGCUGUCCCGGCCCAGCGGCACCGCGGCGGGCGCUGCGCCGUUGUAAGCACAGAGCUUCAGAUCUGCAGGGAGCAGAAAGCAGCGGGAACAAAGCUGGGAGCAGAGCGGGGGGCCCAGUGGGCACCAACCNGGGGGGGGGGGGGGGAGAGAUGGAGAUGUUAAUGGUGGGAAUUGCCCAACGUUGGGACAAGGAGGGUUUGGGGAUGGAUGGAGGACCGCCAUCACCCGCAGCCCUGCUGUAGGGCUGUGUGGGGAUCAGCUCACAGCCAAGCCCAUGCACAGCCCCUAACCUGGCCAUUUCAGGCUGGGGGCACACAGCAGACCCCACCAGGGACCACCCCACAGCUGUGCUUGGUGGCCCCCCAGCCCUCUGGCCCCAUGGGGACAGCCCAAUGCCUCGCACCAAGCACACGGAGCCAGGACCCCUCUGCUGCACGGCCCCCCGCCUGCCCCCCAUACUCACUUUUCCCCUGGGGGGGGAAGCUGAGCGCGGCCCCGUUGCUGUACGGGCUGUCCCCUGAGGAAGGCGUGGUGGGUUUCAGUCCUGAGGCAGUGGGUGCGGGGGGAAGACCCGCAAAGCCAAAAUGGUUAUCGGUGUCCAUGGCUGUGGGGGGGGGUGAGAGGUGAAGGGUUACGGUGGUGCCACGACCCCCAGGAUCAGCCCCACAACCGCUGCCGUGCCCCGGCGUGCCACGCUGUUGCACAGAGGGUUCCAUCACUCCCCACCCCAUCCCUGGGCUCCCAGCAUGGCACAGACCUGCAGGUCCCCCCCCCACAACGUGUCCAUGACCUUGCAGGGACGUGGCACAGCCUGCCCCCCCCCCCGGGAGCACCGCAGUUCCCGGUACCGUAGGGACGGCUGCUCCUCGGACCCCUCUCCACGCUCCCCCCCCAGCCCCCACCCCAACCCAUAGCCCAGCGGUGCCGGAGGGCACGCAGCCCCAUCCCCC